CGCCACCGCCCCCGGCCGGGACCCGCCUCCGCGCGGCGCCGCCUGCUGCCCGCCCGCCUCGCCCGGCUCCUGGCCCGGCCCCCCCGGCCCCGGGCCUGGGCCCUCGGUGGCCGCUUCUGCGCGGCGCCCACCGCGCUGCCAGAGGCUCCCCCGCCGCUCGCCGUCGUCCGGGCGCGCGUCGCUCUUUCCCGCGCCUUUCCCGGGGCCCGCGCGCGGUUCCUGCCGCCCCGGGACGGCGGUGCCUCCGCGAGGACCGCGCAGAUGGGGCAAGUCUGCAGGGCCGAGGCGAGGUCGGUUUGCCGGCAGCGUGGAAGGGAGAGCAGCUGGGGAGAGGAAGGAGGGGCUGAAGGCUGUGGUGCGAUCGCGCGUUCCCUCGGCAGGGGGAAUCGUGCAGAAACGUGAAACUGUUGUUGGAGAAGACGGUGGAUCUGAAUCUGACAUGCGUAUGGAGCAGGAUGGAACUGGGCUUAUACAGACACAUUUCAAGGUAGAACUGCCUCUUGGGCUGCUGAUGCCUUUGACAACAUCCCCAAAGCAGCUGGAAGGAGGAACGAGCUGGGUUGCCAGCAUCCACGUCGUGAAGGGAAAGGAAACAGUCUUCCUGCUCUGACUGUUCUCAGUGUUCUCAGUGGACACCAGGCUGUUUCUAAUGCUGUGUAUUAUGCAUAUUGUGUCGGAUUAUGUAAAAGCUCUUUGUUAAUCCUCCCAGUUGAGGGCAAAGGCCUCAGCCAGGCCAGAUGAGUUUGGGAGGUGAAUACGCAACUGCACAGAUGGCAGCAACAGAGCUUUGGCCUCCGUGAGCGGGAGACCACGUCCCAGGCAGGAGGAUGAGACCAGUAAUGGGGGUUUAAUGCUCUAGGUACGUGAUGGCGAUGUGGUAGGAGGGGUCGCAGCCAUGCCCGGGUGCUGCUGGGGAUCCCCAGCAGUGCUCGCGAGGGCAGGGACCACCUCGGGUUUGCUCCAGCAGCAGUGGGGCAACUGGCAGAGCAUUCUCCCAGGCAAGGUGAACUCAAUGAAAUAAAGUCACUGCUCUAAGAAAAAGAAGGAGCAGGAGCAGCAGGGGAGGGAGAGCAGCUUUCAAAAAAAGCACCUUCCAGCAAAACAAGGAAGCAGAGGACUCCUUGGUGAACAUCCUGGGGCAAAGGAAAGUUCAGGAAAGUGGGCAGUGGCUGCAAAAAGCAGCAUCAAAGGGCCAAUGGCAAAUGCGGCUGAUGCAGAGGGAGGCUUGGCAGCACAGAAGGAGAUGGCGUUGGCUGUGUUGGGGCUCCCUGACAACCUGAGGAGCCUGGAGGGAUUGCACAAAGCGAGGGAACAGGGUAAGCAGCAAAGUACUGAAGAGACCAGCACACCGGGUUCAGGGGGAAUGACAGAGAAGAGGUGACACCAAAUAAGCUGCUGCAAGCAAAGUGAACCGCAUCAUGUCCUCUGGGCAUAUGGGGAGGGAGAAACAGACACAAAUACCAUGAAGAAAGGAAGAGGAACACAUAAUAUGUGCCCUGACGAAGGCUUGUGAUCAGAUUUUUCACACAAUGUGAUCAGACUUUUCACACAAUGAAUGAUCCAAGGGAAAGAAGAGGUUAAAUAUACUUGGAUAAACCAGGCGUGAUAAAUCACCCAGGCCUGGUGACAUGCACUGGAGGGACAAGCGCUGCACCAUCAGGUGCUAGCUUUGAGGAGGAUGGGGUUUUCAGGAGUGGGAGAGACCUCAAAGGGCUGCAAAAGGCAAAGGUGGCACCAGGGAAAAGAGCUGGAGUUUCUGGGCCCCUCCACCUCUUUCUGGAGUCUGGAAAUGUGAUCUGCACCAGACCCCUAAGCCAUAACUUGUAAGCACUACAGAUCCCUCAGACAAUGAAGAAAGAAUCAGAAGAGACGUGUCAAGUGCAGAGCAAACCCAGCCAUGCCCUUUGGUUCUUGGCCAAGCAGGGAGAUUUGGAGGAGCGCUCAUGCAGAACAACUGUCACAAGUUCAGUUCUGUUCAGUAUUGUCUUUCAGGACCUAGAUGAUGGGCUGGAGAGCACAGGCAUCCUGACAGUACUGAGCUGGGAAGAGUCAAAAGCCUUUGGGAGAACCAUACUGUAAUUUACUUUGCACUAUGCUGCCUUGCCCGUGGAAGCGUGGAUGGAGGUGUCUCACCACAGGCAUCACAGUACAAAUAUGCCACAAGCCCUCUCUACAUCCCCAACGGCUCGCUGCUGGACUUGUGCAAACAUUGCAUUGUCUCAGUGGGCAAACCCCAGCUCCAACACCAUGGCUCGAUCCUCCAAGUCGUCCUCUCUGCCGAGUGACAUGAGGUAUCACGUUGUUGCAGCCUAGGUUGCACUGACUGCUCACUUGGCCUGUGCUCAGCCCCAUCACCAGGCCAGAGGAGCAGCCCGCCAGGUGCUCCCGAUCCUUGGUCUUUGCUGGCCACGUUCUGCUUUGACAGCCGUUGGCAAACAGUUGCCUACCCUUACCCACGAGUGAUGACCUUGGCUGGUCAUCUCUUCCCACAGGUCCCACAUGCUUGGGACAUGGCUGGGUCCCAGUGCAGACCUGGCUAUGCAGACAGAAUGAUGAACACAAAUUGACUCUGGAACCACCUCUGAAAUGAGAGACUACUGGUGUGGCUGAUGUUUCUUUGGGGGUUUUUUUGCAUAUUUUGGAGGAGACAAUCUCAUAUUCUGGUUCAAGAGAGAGCUUUUCAAGCCGCAAGAAGUCAACUCUGCACCUUUCUGGCCAUGAUAUUGCCCUUCUGGCAGGCACAUUCAUGUUGCAGUUGCUUGUGUCCCACUCUGGGGUGUGUUAGGGUUGUUCUGAGAUGACUCUGAGGGUUAUGGUCCUUUCCUACCUGAAUGGUUUCUCUUCCCUGGCCAGGCAGGCUUUCCCUCUGGAGAGCUCUGUGCAAGCCAUUCCUUCCCAGCCUGCAAGUCCUGUAGUCUGUGACGACUUCAAUGUGAAAGCCACCAGCCUCUCCUGGGCUCUCUUCACUCAUAGUCUUUUCAGGUGGGGAAUUUGCCAUAUUGUUUUUACGUUUUUGGAGUCAGGUCCUGGGCUUGGGGAACUCAUCGAGGACCCCUACAUGACACACUACAACCUCAUCCAAUUCCACAACAUGCUUUUUUUUACCCCAGAGCAGUGGUAGCAUCCAUCUCUGGAGGCAAGUACUUGGAAUAUUUCAGCCAUCUCAGGCAACAUCUCCUCAACUAUGGGUGUUUGCUAGCAUGCCAGAUACAGUUUCACUUGCCUGAACCCAUGAAAAGUGCAGUUGAUGGUGCUUCCACUUAUGUAGUGUCCUUGGCUCAGGCUGGGAGCCCUUUUCACCCCAUUAUUUACUGCUUCCAUUACUUUUUGUCUUAUUCCAAUGGACACGCUUUGAAGGGUACAUUGCACUGGCUGAAAUGUUUGAUCUAUUUCUGGGUAUGGUAUCAAAAGACCAUUUUCUAAAGCUGUGUAUUUGUACAAUACCUAGCACACUGGGGCCCUGGUCUCUACCCGGGCCCUGUAGCUCUGGUCUGAUGCACAAAUAACAUGCUAGUCAGGAUGCUACAGGGCAUGGUCUGCUCUCCAGAUGAUCUGGCUUGCAUCUCCAUUGAUCUCACCAGGUUUGGUGCUGUAUGGUUGCAACCUGGACUCACCUGCUGUAGCUGAACAGGGUAGUUGCAGUGAAAUUGGGGUGGCAGCCUGAAUCCCUCCUUGGCACCCUGCAGGCCACAUAUGCUUCCUCUUACCCGUCUGGUCCUCUUCUGUGUACAGAUGAAGAAGCCUGAAUAGCCCAGCUCAGCAUGGACUCCCAUCGUCUAGCUGAUGUUUGAUUUCCUGCUAGUUUGCUCCAUGUGCUGCUAAUCUCAGUUUAGCACAGAUAUUUUUGCUGGUUUGUGCUGCAUUUGCAGCAGAUCUGUGCAAAAUCCCAUCCUCUGAGCCCUUACUCCCUUCCCUCAGCUGGGGGGUUCCAUCUGAAGUGGUCCAUGUUUGGGGUUGAGUGAGUCCCCAGCUGCAAUGGAGAGGACCCCACCGCCUCUCCCCACUCCACCGGUUUGGCCACAGCCUGCCACCACUCCUGCUUCCUUGGGCAAGCGUUGCCAGCGUGGGGUCCCCUGCUCUUUCUCAGCGGUGUCCACAGCACAUAGGCAAAGCAUGUCCUCUCACAGCAUCUCUUUGCAGGGCUCGCAGACCUCCCUUCACAUGUUGUUUAUGACUUUUGCUUUGAGUUUCUGAUUUUUCUUCGUAACAUUUCAGUUGAUUUUCCCUUGUCUUUUCCCCUCUGGCUCUUGGUGAAUUAUCUCAUAUCUUCUGCAGGAGGCUAUUCACUUGCUUUGCAUCUGUCUCUCUCUCUCUCUGGCAGUGGGAGCCUUCUGAGCCUUCACAGCUGAGCCCCUGCGUCCUUGUCUCUGCUAGUAAUCUAUCACAAAUGAGUCCAUCUUUCAAGAUUUGAUAGUGCCGUGAGUCAGCCAUUUUGCACAGUUUGGCAACAUGCAGCCCUAUUGUUUCUCCAGAUCCUUGAUGACACUUGUUCAGAGGAGCCCUUUCAUAUGUGACAUUUUUUGUGGGUGAGAAAUAUGUUGGGAGAGUUUCUCAGAUUUCACUUGGGUCCUUCCGGUCUGCUGCUGCUCUUAAUCCAGAUGCUGCAGGAACAUGUGGUGUCCUUUGAUUGUCCCACAGCACAAAGCUGCUGCUCUUGUUUUUGUUUUCCUUUUCUGCAGCCCUGAUGCAAUUUUGCAGUUUUCCCACUGUGACCUAAAGAAUGUCCAGUUGCUAAACACAUCCUCUUUCAUGUCUCUGCCCAGAGCCAAGGCUCUGGGAUCUGGGCCAUUUCUGCUGCUUUUGCUUGAGGUCCUCCUCCUUGCCCCUCCAUUUUUUUGUGGGAUUUUGAUGUUUUCUCAGCAUUCCUCAGUCAUGAUUUCACAUACCUCCUGGAGCUGACUCACUGCUGACACCAUCAUCUUUGUGUAUCAGAAGGAGAGCCAAGACAACAUGACUUUCUGGUCUUAUUCUUUCCUCUGCCUCCCCAGUUUCCUUUUUUCCUCCAGUGCUUCCUGAAAAGUGGAGUUCUCAGAGUGUCACUGCUUCCUCAGGGGUUGAUUGUCUUGUUUCACAAACUGCUCAGACGUUUUGCUAUCUGCUGCAGAACAAAAGGUUGCCAUGAGAUGAGAUAAGGAUGCUCUAGGACAGGAAGCAGGCACUGGCUCAGUUCAGCCUCAGCUCAACAGUCAUUAUUGCCCCAAGCAAUUUGGGACCUGACUGCCCCUUUUUUGAAGCCUUCCUGAUGAAAUUUGGAAACCUUGACAUUUCCCUCCUUGGUAUUUGGGGAUGAAGUGCUUGGACCAGCUCCCCUUGUACCAGGAUGACUGUGUGCGUUGCCUGCCGUUUGCUGGGGCACCUUCAGAAAGUGCACGUGCAAUACAGUGCACGACACAGAGGCUUAACUUGGAAAGCCAAAUGCCCUGAGCUCUGUGUGAAAGCUGAUUUGAGUGAGCGGCAAAUUUCUGUGCACGCACGUACACAUGCAGGGAUGCACGUCUCUCUACAGCACGGCCUUGAGGGCUCUUACGGCCAUGCUAGGACUCCCUCUCUGAACUGUGUACAUGGCCAUGAUUGCAUGGCCACGAUCUCCUCCUUCCCUUGACCCUUUGUGCAAAAGGCUGGAGAGUCUGGCCCCUGGCUGCUGAACCGGAGCAGAGCCUUCGUUAUCAAGUCUGGUCCAGAUGGAAAUAAUCCACAAGCAUGCGGCGAUCUCAAAUUCCUCUUGGCAGCAACGGUCCUGGGAGAUGUGUCAGACUCAGACUUUUCAGCUCAGACAGCAGCUCCCUGCCCCAUCCUGGUGGCCCUGCUCUGCUGGGGCACGCGGCACAGCCCCGAUGCCCCUGCCGCUCAUCGGUGGCAGCACCAUGGGAUGUGGGGCACGUGCAACCCUGUCCCUGCCUGGCCGAGUCCUGGGAAUACCCCGCGAGUCUUGAGAAAACCAUCUAUCCUAGAGUUUUCAGCCUUUAUACGUUGUCAUUAUACAUCACAGGGUCCAGGUCAGUGAGUGAGCAAACCUCACGCUGCGCCAGCAAAUGCGUCGUACAUGCUGUCCUGCAGACAUCUCUGCCCAGUGCUUUCAUGGCACAAGAAAUAAAUCAUGAAGGGAACCUUCCAAAAGCCUGUGUGAUGCCACCUUUGUGAUACAGUGUGGUGUGAUUGUAGGAAACCUCACUGCUCAAUUCCCGAAAGUAUCCGCAAUGUUUGAAAAUGAGAAUAUUUUCUAGAUAAAGAACUAGCAACUUAA
Dromaius novaehollandiae (emu) is the source of this 6244-nucleotide long non-coding RNA. RefSeq lists it as uncharacterized. The record is from RefSeq and is a predicted model, not a curated record. The transcript has 2 exons. Lineage: Eukaryota; Metazoa; Chordata; Aves; Casuariiformes; Dromaiidae.